This 786-nucleotide ribosomal RNA is filed under the name Triticum aestivum (bread wheat). Its description in RNAcentral is "partial small subunit ribosomal RNA". The record is from RNAcentral. Lineage: Eukaryota; Viridiplantae; Streptophyta; Magnoliopsida; Poales; Poaceae.
CACUCUGGUUUUCUAGCAACAUAUCACAGAAUCAGAAAACUCUUUGCUUGGCCACACAUGAAGGAGGACAUCCAGAAAUUUGUGCAAACCUGUGAGGUAUGUCAGCAGGCCAAGACCGAGCACAACAAAUCUCUGGGGCUGCUCCAACCCCACAACAUUCCACCUGAAGCCUGGCACACAGUCAGCCUAGACUUCAUCGAGGGACUGCCAAAGUCGGGCAAGUUUGACGCCAUCAUGGUGGUGGUGGACAAGUUCUCGAAAGUGGGACACUUCAUUCCAUUGAAGCAUCCCUUUACUGCUGCCACGGUGGCCCGGAUAUACAUGGAUCAGAUUUAUAGGCUGCACGGUAUGCCAGAGGUGCUUAUCUCUGACAGGGAUAAAAUCUUCAUUAGCAGUUUUUGGCAACAAAUGUUCAAUUUGGCGGAUAUCACCCUCAACAUGAGCUCGUCAUAUCACCCGCAGACGGAUGGUCAAACAGAGAGGCUGAACCAAUGUUUGGAGACAUACUUGCGCUGCAUGGUACACUCCAAGCCAAGUCAGUGGGAGAAGUGGCUGCCUCAAGCGGAACAUUGGUACAACACAACUUUCCAUUCCUCUCUUGGAAGAUCACCAUUUGAAGUUCUGUAUGGGCGCUCCCCCAGAAAUUUUGGAGUACCCACAACACCAGAAGGCACAAACCCAGAUCUGGCUAGCUGGUUGGAGGAGCGCGCGGAAAUGCUGCCUCUGUUCAAACAACAUCUAGAGAGGGCCCAACAACGCAUGACUUACCAAGCCAACAAGAAACGC